GUGACCUCAAAUCAGGUAGGACUACCCGCUGAACUUA
RNAcentral lists this ribosomal RNA (37 nucleotides) under Dermocybe malicoria. RNAcentral's name for it is "partial 28S ribosomal RNA". The record is from RNAcentral. Lineage: Eukaryota; Fungi; Basidiomycota; Agaricomycetes; Agaricales; Cortinariaceae. RNAcentral also lists the same sequence under 2 other names.